This 239-nucleotide ribosomal RNA is filed under the name uncultured bacterium. Its description in RNAcentral is "partial 16S ribosomal RNA". It matches the Rfam family "Bacterial small subunit ribosomal RNA", at positions 524 to 762 of the family's 1533-position model. The record is from RNAcentral.
UACGGAGGGUGCAAGCGUUAAUCGGAAUUACUGGGCGUAAAGCGCACGUAGGCGGUUCGUUAAGUCGGAUGUGAAAUCCCCGGGCUCAACCUGGGACCUGCAUUCGAUACUGGCGAACUUGAGUAUGAUAGAGGGGGGUGGAAUUCCAGGUGUAGCGGUGAAAUGCGUAGAUAUCUGGAGGAACAUCAGUGGCGAAGGCGGCCCCCUGGAUCAAUACUGACGCUGAGGUGCGAAAGCGU